RNAcentral lists this ribosomal RNA (823 nucleotides) under Eudorylaimus coniceps. RNAcentral describes it as "SSU rRNA". It matches the Rfam family "Eukaryotic small subunit ribosomal RNA", at positions 96 to 919 of the family's 1831-position model. The record is from RNAcentral. Lineage: Eukaryota; Metazoa; Nematoda; Enoplea; Dorylaimida; Qudsianematidae.
GCUCAUUACAACAGCCAUCGUUUAUUAGAAUAUCGUUAUCCUACUUGGAUAACUGUGGCAAUUCUAGAGCUAAUACAUGCAAUAAAGCUCCGCCCGCAAGGAACGAGCGCAUUUAUUAGAAUAAAAACCAAUCGGGUUUCGGCCCGUAAUUUGGUGAAUCUGAAUAACUUUGCCAAUCGCACAGUCCUAGUACUGGCGAUGUAUCUUUCAAGUGUCUGCCUUAUCAACUUUCGAUGGUACGCUAUACGCCUACCAUGGUAGUAACGGGUAACGGAGAAUAAGGGUUCGACUCCGGAGAGGGAGCCUGAGAAACGGCUACCACAUCCAAGGAAGGCAGCAGGCGCGCAAAUUACCCACUUCCAGAACGGAGAGGUAGUGACGAAAAAUAACGAGACAGUCCUCUUCGAGGUCUGUCAUCGGAAUGGGUACAAUUUAAAUCCUUUAACGAGGAUCUAUUGGAGGGCAAGUCUGGUGCCAGCAGCCGCGGUAAUUCCAGCUCCAAUAGCGUAUAUUAAAGUUGUUGCGGUUAAAACGCUCGUAGUUGGAUUUGCGGCCUCGAAGAACGGUCCCCCGAAAGGGUGGUCACUGUCUCUUCUAGCCUAAAGUCGAGUCGUCUCUAGGUGCUCUUUAUUGAGUGCUUAGAGUGACUAGAACGUUUACUUUGAAAAAAUUAGAGUGCUUAAAGCAGACGAAAUAGUCUGAAUAAGGUGCAUGGAAUAAUGGAAUAGGACCUCGGUUCUAUUUUGUUGGUUUUCGGAGCCCGAGGUAAUGAUUAAGAGGAACAGACGGGGGCAUUCGUAUUCCGGCGCUAGAGGUGAAAUUC